CAGCAGCCGCGGUAAUACGUAGGGUGCAAGCGUUAAUCGGAAUUACUGGGCGUAAAGCGUGCGCAGGCGGACUUUUAAGCCAGAUGUGAAAGCCCCGAGCUUAACUUGGGAAUUGCGUUUGGAACUGGGAGUCUAGAGUCUGUCAGAGGGGGAUGGAAUUCCACGUGUAGCAGUGAAAUGCGUAGAGAUGUGGAGGAACACCGAUGGCGAAGGCAGUCCCCUGGGAUAAGACUGACGCUCAUGCACGAAAGCGUGGGGAGCAAACAGGAUUAGAUACCCUGGUAGUCCACGCCCUAAACGAUGUCUACUAGUUGUUGGGGUAGCAAUACCUCAGUGACGCAGCUAACGCGUGAAGUAGACCGCCUGGGGAGUACGGUCGCAAGAUUAAAAACUCAAAGGAAUUGACGGGG
This 410-nucleotide ribosomal RNA is filed under the name uncultured bacterium. RNAcentral's name for it is "bacterial SSU rRNA". It matches the Rfam family "Bacterial small subunit ribosomal RNA", at positions 509 to 918 of the family's 1533-position model. The record is from RNAcentral.